This 74-nucleotide transfer RNA is filed under the name Planctomycetota bacterium. RNAcentral's name for it is "tRNA-Gln". It matches the Rfam family "tRNA". Rfam says of the family: Transfer RNA (tRNA) molecules are approximately 80 nucleotides in length. Their secondary structure includes four short double-helical elements and three loops (D, anti-codon, and T loops). Lineage: Bacteria; Pseudomonadati; Planctomycetota. The record is from RNAcentral.
UGCCCCCUAGUCUAAUGGCAGGACGGCAGACUCUGGAUCUGUGGGUCGGGGUUCGAAUCCCUGGGGGGCAACCA